ACGGGAGGCAGCAGUGGGGGAUAUUGCACAAUGGGGGAAACCCUGAUGCAGCGACGCCGCGUGAGUGAAGAAGUUAUUCGGAAUGUAAAGCUCUAUCAGCAGGGAAGAAAAUGACGGUACCUGACUAAGAAGCCCCGGCUAACUACGUGCCAGCAGCCGCGGUAAUAAGUAGGGGGCAAGCGUUAUCCGGAUUUACUGGGUGUAAAGGGAGCGUAGACGGCAUGGCAAGUCUGAUGUGAAAGCCCGGGGCUCAACCCCGGGACUGCAUUGGAAACUGUUAAGCUAGAGUGCAGGAGAGGUAAGUGGAAUUCCUAGUGUAGCGGUGAAAUGCGUAGAUAUUAGGAGGAACACCAGUGGCGAAGGCGGCUUACUGGACUGUAACUGACGUUGAGGCUCGAAAGCGUGGGGAGCAAACAGGAUUAGAUACCCUGGUA
This 434-nucleotide ribosomal RNA is filed under the name uncultured Lachnospiraceae bacterium. RNAcentral describes it as "partial 16S ribosomal RNA". It matches the Rfam family "Bacterial small subunit ribosomal RNA", at positions 341 to 792 of the family's 1533-position model. Lineage: Bacteria; Bacillati; Bacillota; Clostridia; Lachnospirales; Lachnospiraceae. The record is from RNAcentral.